UACGUAGGGGGGCUAGCGUUGUCCGGAAUCAUUGGGCGUAAAGAGCGUGUAGGCGGCCCGGUAAGUCCGCUGUGAAAGUCGGGGGCUCAACCCUCGAAUGCCGGUGGAUACUGUCGGGCUAGAGUGCGGAAGAGGCGAGUGGAAUUCCUGGUGUAGCGGUGAAAUGCGCAGAUAUCAGGAGGAACACCGAUUGCGAAGGCAGCUCGCUGGGACGUCACUGACGCUGGAGACGCGAAAGCGUGGGGAGCAAACAGG
Molecule: ribosomal RNA, 255 nt
Filed under: uncultured bacterium
Lineage: Bacteria
Description: partial 16S ribosomal RNA
Rfam family: Bacterial small subunit ribosomal RNA
Source: RNAcentral